AUCUUGCUCUUAAACGACUUUGACAUAAUCUUCGUUUUAUCCUAUGCAUUCCAUUCACUUGUCUUAGUUAUCGUACACUUCAGUAACAUCUUAUAUUAUUGCCCGUGAAUCAAAAAAUCGAAGGCUAUAAUCUUAUAGCGAAGAAUUGCAUAAAGGCGCGAUUUAUCACUUAUACUUUAGAAAUUCAGUAAACGAAAAUUAGUAUUAAAAUGUUGGAUCAAUAAAUACAAUGGAAAAAGAUCUGUGCUCUGAAAGUAUUUUAGAGACUGGCGUCGUUUAAGCUCUACAAUAUACAGCAAACAUACAAUAUUGCCAAGUAUGAACAAGUUAUUGUCUACACUGCGUGCUCUGUAAGCAAUAUUAAGUAUUUGUACGAAAUUGCCAAUAUAUAUAC
This is a non-coding RNA of Schizosaccharomyces pombe (fission yeast), 394 nucleotides long. NCBI's taxonomy places the organism in Eukaryota, Fungi, Ascomycota, Schizosaccharomycetes, Schizosaccharomycetales, Schizosaccharomycetaceae. The record is from the annotation of a GenBank genome assembly.